RNAcentral lists this long non-coding RNA (207 nucleotides) under Nicotiana benthamiana. Its description in RNAcentral is "long non-coding RNA (NBEN_LNC038023)". Lineage: Eukaryota; Viridiplantae; Streptophyta; Magnoliopsida; Solanales; Solanaceae. The record is from RNAcentral.
AUGAAAACAUACAGAAUAUCGGAGGAAUUUUAGAGAGAGAAAGUAGAGAGAAGGGAGAGGAUCGAAGAGUCUCGAAGAAGAGACUGUAAAAUAUCUCUGAUAAAAAUGAGUGCCUCGGUCCAGACAAACGACCCCUGACCCCUUAUAUCAAAUGACCCCUUUACAUAUGUGGCCUAUUUACAUGACAUAGCCUAAUUACAGGAAUAG